AGUGAGCGCUGGCGGUAGGCCUAACACAUGCAAGUCGAACGGCAGCACAGUAAGAGCUUGCUCUUACGGGUGGCGAGUGGCGGACGGGUGAGGAAUACAUCGGAAUCUACUUUUUCGUGGGGGAUAACGUAGGGAAACUUACGCUAAUACCGCAUACGACAUACGGGUGAAAUCAGGGGAUCUUCGGACCUUGCGCGAUUGAAUGAGCGGAUGUCGGAUUAGCUAGUUGGCGGGGUAAAGGCCCACCAAGGCGACGAUCCGUAGUUGGUCUGAGAGGAGGAUCAGCCACACUGGAACUGAACCACGGUCCAGACUCCUACGGGAGGCAGCAGUGGAGAAUAUUGGACAAUGGGCGCAAGCCUGAUCCAGCCAUACCGCGUGGGUGAAGAAGGCCUUCGGGUUGUAAAGCCCUUUUGUUGGGAAAGAAAAGCAGCAGGUUAAUACCCCGCUGUUCUGACGGUACCCAAAGAAUAAGCACCGGCUAACUUCGUG
RNAcentral lists this ribosomal RNA (492 nucleotides) under uncultured bacterium. RNAcentral describes it as "partial 16S ribosomal RNA". It matches the Rfam family "Bacterial small subunit ribosomal RNA", at positions 29 to 507 of the family's 1533-position model. The record is from RNAcentral.